UGGCUCUGGAGAAGUCCCCCCAGCGGGGAUGCCGAAGGUGCAACGGGCCCCCGUGGGGCGCGAAUCUCUCAGGCAAAAGGACAGAGUGA
RNAcentral lists this non-coding RNA (89 nucleotides) under uncultured Flavonifractor sp. RNAcentral's name for it is "Glycine riboswitch". It matches the Rfam family "Glycine riboswitch aptamer", at positions 9 to 86 of the family's 94-position model. From Rfam's summary of the family: This family represents the bacterial glycine riboswitch. Glycine riboswitches usually consist of two metabolite-binding aptamers domains with similar structures in tandem. The aptamers cooperatively bind glycine to regulate the expression of downstream genes. The record is from RNAcentral. Lineage: Bacteria; Bacillati; Bacillota; Clostridia; Eubacteriales; Oscillospiraceae.